UACGUAGGCUCCGAGCGUUAUCCGGAUUUAUUGGGCGUAAAGGGUGUGUAGGAGGUCUUGUGCGUCUCUUGUUAAAUUUCACCGCUCAACGGUGGAGCUGCGAGGGAUACGGCAAGACUAGAGGAUGUGAGAGGUAAGUAGAACGCAAGGUGUAGGGGUGAAAUCCGUUGAUAUCUUGCGGAAUACCAAAGGCGAAGGCAGCUUACUGGCACAUUUCUGACUCUGAAACACGAAAGCGUGGGGAGCAAAAAGG
Molecule: ribosomal RNA, 253 nt
Filed under: uncultured bacterium
Lineage: Bacteria
Description: partial 16S ribosomal RNA
Rfam family: Bacterial small subunit ribosomal RNA
Source: RNAcentral